This 537-nucleotide ribosomal RNA is filed under the name uncultured bacterium. RNAcentral's name for it is "partial 16S ribosomal RNA". It matches the Rfam family "Bacterial small subunit ribosomal RNA", at positions 355 to 909 of the family's 1533-position model. The record is from RNAcentral.
UGGGGAAUAUUGGACAAUGGGGGCAACCCUGAUCCAGCCAUGCCGCGUGAGUGAUGAAGGCCUUCGGGUUGUAAAGCUCUUUUGGCGGGGACGAUGAUGACGGUACCCGCAGAAUAAGCCCCGGCUAACUUCGUGCCAGCAGCCGCGGUAAGACGAAGGGGGCUAGCGUUGUUCGGAAUUACUGGGCGUAAAGCGAGUGUAGGCGGUUGCCGUAGUCAGGUGUGAAAGCCUUGAGCUCAACUCAAGAAAUGCACUUGAUACUGGGUGACUAGAGGACCGGAGAGGAUAGUGGAAUUCCCCAGUGUAGUGGUGAAAUACGUAGAGAUUGGGAAGAACACCAGUGGCGAAGGCGGCUAUCUGGACGGUUACUGACGCUAAGACUCGAAAGCGUGGGGAGCAAACAGGAUUAGAUACCCUGGUAGUCCACGCCGUAAACGAUGGGUGCUAGACGUUGGCGAGCUUGCUCGUCAGUGUCGCAGCUAACGCGUUAAGCACCCCGCCUGGGGAGUACGGCCGCAAGGUUGAAACUCAAAGGAA